RNAcentral lists this unclassified non-coding RNA (254 nucleotides) under uncultured Patescibacteria group bacterium. RNAcentral describes it as "contains 16S-23S intergenic spacer region". It matches the Rfam family "Bacterial small subunit ribosomal RNA", at positions 524 to 776 of the family's 1533-position model. The record is from RNAcentral.
UACGUAGGGUCCAAGCGUUAUCCGGAUUAACUGGGCGUAAAGAGAUGCGUAGGCGGCUGAUUAAGCGGAUAUUGAAAGCCCACGGCUCAACCGUGCGGUUGGUAUCCGAACUGAUCAGCUAGAGUAUGAGAGGGGUCGCUGGAAUUGCUGGUGUAGGAGUGAAAUCCGUAGAUAUCAGCAGGAACACCGAUGGCGAAGGCAGGCGACUGGCUCAUUACUGACGCUGAGGCUCGAAAGCAUGGGUAGCGAACGGG